UGAUUAUGUGAGAGUGCAGUUACACUUCACUUGUGUCCUGCAUAUGGGCUUCCCAUGGGCCUCUUGUUGGCCUCUGUGAGAUCAGAGUGCUUUUCUAGAUGGGUCUUUGGCAUGAUCCAGUAGGGCAGGAUAGAAAUCUUACAAAUAAAGAAACAAAGAAGUUUCUUUGGUACACUCAAGGCCAGCCAGCGUGAAAAAUGGUAAGCCAAACAAUUAGAAAUGCUACUGAACGCCUCUCACUGUGGUUUGCUUCAGGAUCAAUAUGUUCUCUCUCACCCUGAUGCUAAUUAGUGUUCAAUAUAGAUGACACCCUGUCUCCUUGAUAGAUUUGUGGCUGUGGGCUGUUGUUUCCUUUCACAACAUCCAUGUCCCAUUGAGUGCCAGUUGUCCACAAAUUAGAUGCAUGAGUUACUAUCAUUUCAUAUUGUUCUGCAGCAAGCCUGCAUAUCCUGUGAUGCACAGGGUAAAAGUAGCACACUAGCCAUGUGUGGUGGUUCACCAAUGGCUCCAUAAGCUUCCAGUUUUUCAAUGUUGGUUGGGAACUGUAAAACUGGGAAGAGGAGCUUUCAGGAACAUAGGACGUCAUUAUGACUGGUGCAUUAAACUUGGCAGGUCACAAAAUUGGGCAAUGAAGUUCUUCAGAAUGAAACCAAUCACAUAAUAAUGUGAUCCGGCCUUCUGGUUCUCUCUUUGUAUGUAUACCCACAGACCACCAUGAGGGACGCGAGUGGCACUGUGGUCUAAACCACUGAGCGUCUGGGGCUUGCUGAUCGGAAAGUCAGUGGUUCGAAUCCGUGCAAUGGCGGUGAGUUCCCAUUGCUCUGUCCCAGCUCCUGCCAACCUAGCAGUUCAAAAGCACACCAAUGCAAGUAGAUAAAUAGGUACCACUGUGGUGGGAAGGUAAACAGUGUUUCCGUGUUCUCUGGCUUCCAUCACGGUGUCCCGUUGUGCCAGAAGCGGUUUAGUCAUGCUGGCCGCAUGACCCAGAAAGCCAUCUGUGGACAAAUGCUGGCUCCCUCGGCUUGAAGUGAGAUGAGCACCACACCCCAUAGUUACCUUUGACUGGACUUAACCAUCCAGGGGUCAUUUACCUUUACUUAUUUACCUGCUUAGAAGCCAUUUUGGCAAGUGAUAUCUAUUUAAGCUGACUGGGGAUAAGGACACCUGCAGGAUUAUAGAUUCCCCACCCCUGCUUUAGUUUAAGUGAGAUCUGGCUCCUGAAAGCUUAUCCCACAAUACAUUUAACAUUCUUUAAGGUGGCACAUUGUUCUUCGGGGCUUUUUGUUGCCGCCAAACCAGACUGAUAAUUCUAGUGUUGUAUUAAUUGAGGUGGAGUCUCUAAUGUGAGGGCACUAAUUGCAUUCUUCUCUGCCCUCUCCCAAUUACUUUUAAGAAGUUCAUUUUCUGUUCAGAGCUUUUAAGGGAGGUGUGAUGGGUGUUCUUUUAAGAUGUGUGCUAUCCUCUCUAUAUGCAAGCUAAUUAGGAGAAAGUUGAUGUCCUCACCGGAAUGCAUGUUAAUUUCAAACAAGCUCCCUUUGGUCAUUUCAUUGUCUCACUUCCUGGUCUGGCCACUUGGAAGCAGGGCUCGUAUGUGAACAGAAUAUGGAGUUUUUAGGGUAUGGGGUCAUGACCUGCAGAUGCCAGGUGAAGCUUUAAAAGAAUUAAAGAGAGAAGAAAAUUAAUUGCCUCCUCCCUUCUCCCAGUCCAUCAUAGACCUAGGUCUCUCUGUUUGACAUUUGGGACUCUUCCUGCACCACACUGACUCUGUUCCACCACCUCCUGAAAGUGUACAAACUGUGUACAAACUGUAUCGAGUUUGUGAAUUUGAAAUAUGUGAUAUUUGCCAUAUCCUGUUGUUUCCAAAGGCAUCAGUCCAGAGUUAAAUCCAGAUGCAGAAGGUCAAAUUAGGAGUCUGCUUUGGUCAAAGAAAUGACCAGUUUUGGAAUGAAGCAUCAAUUACACUUGGCCUCUCCAAGUCCUCUAGCAGUGGAUGGAGCCGUGAGGCACAGCUGAUCAAGAAAACACAGUAGCCUAAAAGCUGGGUGUGAAAAUAUAGUAUUAAUCUAUCUUCCUUCCUGUAAAUUGAAAUAACCAAUGAUUGUACAGCCUCCUUCUAUUGCAAAUUCCCCCUCUAUCUGUAAUAUGGACAUAAAAGUUGGCUAUGGAUAUGAACUCUGGUGGGCUAAAAUUAUUUGGUAGCUCCAUAUGAUGGUAGAACAAAUCCCUUAGGCAGAAAGUAUUAUUACAGUUUGUCUUCCUUACAGGACAGAGUCUCAGAAGGAGAAGGAAAAUAAUGUGCCGCAAUCUGAAGAUGUGUUCAGGAAAGAGCAG
Molecule: non-coding RNA, 2331 nt
Organism: Podarcis lilfordi (Lilford's wall lizard)
Lineage: Eukaryota; Metazoa; Chordata; Lepidosauria; Squamata; Lacertidae
Source: the annotation of a GenBank genome assembly